UGCCUUUAUCUCCUCUCGCAGGCUUCUCGACAAGUCACAGGAUGAUUUAUGCCCUGAUAACUUCUGCUUUUAAAGGCCGGGCUAAUAAAAGCAGCCUUUGCAAAAACAACUUUUGCGGGAGGUGUGGGGAAACCCACCCGUCAUCACACUCAGCAGGCCAAAGCACCAUGUCAGCAGAGACGCCAGCAGAGCAGGGCCGAGGCCCACCUCCCUCCCCAUCUUCAUCUGGCGCCCAAAGGGAUGUGGUGCAGGGAGGACGGGUGGGCGGAAAGCCUGGGCUGGAAAGAGAAGAUUUUCCUCUGACUGCUUCAUUAAUGUGAGUCUGAAACCAUUAUGCCUUCCUGAACAAAAGCAAGCAAGCCAUGCCACAACUAACACAAGCACACUGAAUUUUCUGCGGUGAAAAAAUCACGAACAAAUAAAAAUCAGGUGUUGAAAUGAAA
Molecule: long non-coding RNA, 443 nt
Organism: Corvus hawaiiensis (hawaiian crow)
Lineage: Eukaryota; Metazoa; Chordata; Aves; Passeriformes; Corvidae
Exons: 2
Source: RefSeq, a predicted model, not a curated record